AGCGUGGAGACAGGUGGUGCAUGGCUGUCGUCAGCUCGUGUCGUGAGAUGUUGGGUUAAGUCCCGCAACGAGCGCAACCCUCACCCCUUGUUGCCAUCAGGUCACGCUGGGCACUCUAGGGGAACUGCCCCGGUCAACGGGGAGGAAGGUGGGGACGACGUCAAGUCAUCAUGCCCCUUACGCCCUGGGCUACACACGUGCUACAAUGGCCGGUACAAAGGGAUGCAAGACCGUGAGGUGGAGCUAAACCCAAAAAGCCGGUCUAAGUUCAGAUUGGAGUCUGCAACUCGACUCCAUGAAGGAGGAAUCGCUAGUAAUCGCGCAUCAGCACGGCGCGGUGAAUACGUUCCCGGGCCUUGUACACACCGCCCGUCACACCACGAAAGCCAGCUGUACUCGAAGUCGCUGAG
RNAcentral lists this ribosomal RNA (410 nucleotides) under uncultured Methylomirabilota bacterium. RNAcentral's name for it is "bacterial SSU rRNA". It matches the Rfam family "Bacterial small subunit ribosomal RNA", at positions 1025 to 1434 of the family's 1533-position model. Lineage: Bacteria; Methylomirabilota (SeqCode). The record is from RNAcentral.